CUGCCCAAACACAGAGACCAGCUGGUUGCUGGUACAUUGCGUGUGGACAUUUGUUUUGAGACUACCAAGUGGCAGAUUCCUUGGUGGGUGCUUGGUUUCUGUUUCCAUUUAGCCUUCCAAAGAAGCCCGAGGCAAUUGAAGCUUAGAGAAGCUAAGUAACCGGCUCAGGAAUAGUCUUCUGGCCAAUGAAGACUGCAGGGUUGUCUCCCAGCUGUUUCGAUUUCAACCCUAACUGCUCAUUCAAGACUCUCAUAGUAUCUUGAGGUGUAUUCUCCAACCCGGGGUUAGCAGCUGUGGAGAGCAGAGCUGGGGUGACUUGGAUCCGUCCCUGGGAAAAGCAGCUCUAUGUUGCAAAGGCACCCAGACCACCUAUUGGAGAGGCCCACAUUGUGAGGAACUACAAUGUGGUCAGUCUCCACCUGAAGAACUGGUGUCUUCUAACAACCACGAGGAAGUAAAAACCCGGGGAUGAAGUAUGACUCCCAGACUGAGUGAAGCUGGAGAAGAAGCCCGUGCACAGAGUUCAGGUGUGUGCUAUUUUUACAUUUUUAAAAUUUUUGUUGUGGAAGGGAGGAGGGAGAAGUGGGUUUGUUUUGGACACUCGUCUGUCUCAGCUGUUCUGAGGGGAAAUGGAGAAAGUGACUGGACUGGAAGAUGCAUAGAGAAUGCAGUCAAGAGAUGACAGCUUGGGCCUUGGAUACGAGCCUGUCUGAGUUUGAUGUCAGUUCUGUGACUGUUAGUUUCUGUCUCGGUUUCACCAUCAGUAAAAUGGGGGUAAGAAGAGCAUCCACGGCAACGCGUGACUUGGAAGACAGAAUGUGACGGUGCCUGUGGAGUUUUUAGCACCAGGGCUGGUACGCCGACGGAGGACAGAGCCAGGGCUUCCAGGCAUGGGGGUGGCGUAGCGUCCAUAGAUGGUAGGGGCAUGAGGAGGGAAGGGAGGGUCCAGCUCUGAGAGUCACAAGAGGCCAGUGAACCCAGGAGCACCUGAGAACUUCCUUCUAGGGUGCAACCUGCUCACCUGGGAGAGUUCUUUGCUGUCUUCCAUGCAGAAGGCCGUCGUUGCCUUGAGGGGACUCAAUCACACUUUUAUGUACUUGAUGAGAAGGAUGAUGGGGAUGGUGGAGGGCCAAUGACCUUGGGGUCCCUUCCAAGUGUGAUUCAUGAACAGAGAAGAGAGCAUGAACGGCCUCCAGAAGAGGCACAGCGUCUGAAUGAGCAAGCCCAAGGAAAGUCCCUGGUGUCCAGGGACCCUGACGAUGCCCCCUGGUCCUCCACAUCCCCACCACACUCCCCCCAAUAGGAAGACCCUGGAAAUGAUGCCAUUUGGGGUUCAAAGCAGGCCCGGCCACACAGGUCUUAGCAAAGAGGAGGUAGCCAGGCAGAGGUUACCAGGGUAGGUUUGGGAGGGGUUCUGCCACUUAUUAGCUGUGUGGCCUUGGGAAAAUGACUUACCUCUCUGAUUCUCAGUUUUCUUAUCUGGAAAAUGAUCAUACUUACUAAGUGGACUUUUUUUUUUUUUUUA
Molecule: long non-coding RNA, 1525 nt
Organism: Ictidomys tridecemlineatus (thirteen-lined ground squirrel)
Lineage: Eukaryota; Metazoa; Chordata; Mammalia; Rodentia; Sciuridae
Source: RefSeq, a predicted model, not a curated record